RNAcentral lists this ribosomal RNA (868 nucleotides) under uncultured archaeon. RNAcentral describes it as "bacterial SSU rRNA". It matches the Rfam family "Archaeal small subunit ribosomal RNA", at positions 1 to 878 of the family's 1478-position model. The record is from RNAcentral.
CUCCGGUUGAUCCUGCCGGACCCGACUGCUAUCAGAGUGGGACUAAGCCAUGCGAGUCGACGUAGCAAUGCGUGGCGAACGGCUCAGUAACACGUAGUCAACAUGCCCAGGGGACGUGGAUAACCUCGGGAAACUGAGAAUAAACCACGAUAGGUCACGAUUUCUGGAAUGGAUCAUGGCCUAAAUCUACAUGGCCCCUGGAUUGGACUGCGGCCGAUCAGGCUGUUGGUGAGGUAAUGGCCCACCAAACCUAUAACCGGUACGGGCUCUGAGAGGAGAAGCCCGGAGAUGGGCACUGAGACAAGGGCCCAGGCCCUAUGGGGCGCAGCAGGCGCGAAACCUCUGCAAUAGGCGAAAGCCUGACAGGGUUACUCUGAGUGAUUUCCGCUAAGGGGAUCUUUUGGCACCUCUAAAAAUGGUGCAGAAUAAGGGGUGGGCAAGUCUGGUGUCAGCCGCCGCGGUAAUACCAGCACCCCGAGUGGUCGGGACGAUUAUUGGGCCUAAAGCAUCCGUAGCCGGUUCUGCAAGUCUUCCGUUAAAUCCAGCCGCUCAACGGAUGGGCCGCGGAGGAUACUACAGGACUAGGAGGCGGGAGAGGCAAGCGGUACUCAGUGGGUAGGGGUAAAAUCCUUUGAUCCAUUGAAGACCACCAGUGGCGAAGGCGGCUUGCCAGAACGCGCUCGACGGUGAGGGAUGAAAGCUGGGGGAGCAAACCGGAUUAGAUACCCGGGUAGUCCCAGCUGUAAACGAUGCAGACUCGGUGAUGGGCUAGCCUUGUGCCAGCCCAGUGCCGCAGGGAAGCCGUUAAGUCUGCCGCCUGGGGAGUACGGUCGCAAGACUGAAACUUAAAGGAAUUGGCCGGGGAGCA